Molecule: non-coding RNA, 105 nt
Filed under: Austwickia chelonae
Lineage: Bacteria; Bacillati; Actinomycetota; Actinomycetes; Micrococcales; Dermatophilaceae
Also listed under: 1 other name
Description: TPP sequence
Rfam family: TPP riboswitch aptamer (THI element)
About the family: Vitamin B(1) in its active form thiamin pyrophosphate (TPP) is an essential coenzyme that is synthesised by coupling of pyrimidine and thiazole moieties in bacteria. The previously detected thiamin-regulatory element, thi box was extended, resulting in a new, highly conserved RNA secondary structure, the THI element, which is widely distributed in eubacteria and also occurs in some archaea. Analysis of operon structures identified a large number of new candidate thiamin-regulated genes, mostly transporters, in various prokaryotic organisms.
Source: RNAcentral
CUGAUACGACAGGGGAGCGCCACCGGCGCUGAGAGUGCGGCACGACCGCAGACCCUCGCACCUGAUCCGGUUCGCACCGGCGUAGGGAGUCGGGAAUCUCGGACG